This 203-nucleotide long non-coding RNA is filed under the name Elaeis guineensis (African oil palm). RNAcentral describes it as "long non-coding RNA (EGUI_LNC019866)". The record is from RNAcentral. Lineage: Eukaryota; Viridiplantae; Streptophyta; Magnoliopsida; Arecales; Arecaceae.
AAUCAAAGAAUAUCAAUCCACUAACCUUAAACUUAAUAUGCUCAAAAUUCUUCCAGAUAUUACUAUAACAAAAGAAUCAAACACCAAAAAUAGUAUUGCCACAUCUAAAUGAUCUUAAGGAUCAACAAUCUUAUACUUUCAUUUGUCAAUUGCAAUCUCUUUUAUGAAAGUCAAGUCUCCAUUCAUAUCACUUAUUGCAUUAG